GAAGGUAUAGCUUAGUGGUAAAGUGCAUGCCUAGCAUGCACAAGGUCUUGGGUUCAAUUCCUAGUGCCUCUG
RNAcentral lists this transfer RNA (72 nucleotides) under Camelus bactrianus (Bactrian camel). It matches the Rfam family "tRNA". From Rfam's summary of the family: Transfer RNA (tRNA) molecules are approximately 80 nucleotides in length. Their secondary structure includes four short double-helical elements and three loops (D, anti-codon, and T loops). Further hydrogen bonds mediate the characteristic L-shaped molecular structure. tRNAs have two regions of fundamental functional importance: the anti-codon, which is responsible for specific mRNA codon recognition, and the 3' end, to which the tRNAs corresponding amino acid is attached (by aminoacyl-tRNA synthetases). tRNAs cope with the degeneracy of the genetic code in two manners: having more than one tRNA (with a specific anti-codon) for a particular amino acid; and 'wobble' base-pairing, i.e. permitting non-standard base-pairing at the 3rd anti-codon position. RNAcentral also lists the same sequence under 2 other names. The record is from Rfam by way of RNAcentral. Lineage: Eukaryota; Metazoa; Chordata; Mammalia; Artiodactyla; Camelidae.